UACAGAGGGUGCGAGCGUUAAUCGGAAUUACUGGGCGUAAAGCGUGCGUAGACGGUUGCGUAAGUCAGAUGUGAAAGCCCCGGGCUCAACCUGGGAAUUGCAUUUGAGACUGCGUAGCUAGGGUGCGGAAGAGGGAAGCGGAAUUUCCGGUGUAGCGGUGAAAUGCGCAGAUAUCGGAAGGAACACCAGUGGCGAAAGCGGCUUCCUGGUCCAGCACCGACGUUCAGGCACGAAAGCGUGGGGAGCAAACAGG
This 253-nucleotide ribosomal RNA is filed under the name uncultured bacterium. RNAcentral's name for it is "partial 16S ribosomal RNA". It matches the Rfam family "Bacterial small subunit ribosomal RNA", at positions 524 to 776 of the family's 1533-position model. The record is from RNAcentral.